Molecule: non-coding RNA, 28 nt
Filed under: Rattus norvegicus (Norway rat)
Lineage: Eukaryota; Metazoa; Chordata; Mammalia; Rodentia; Muridae
Source: RNAcentral
UCAAGGCCAUGAAGAUUCAGACUGAAGU